RNAcentral lists this ribosomal RNA (352 nucleotides) under uncultured bacterium. Its description in RNAcentral is "bacterial SSU rRNA". It matches the Rfam family "Bacterial small subunit ribosomal RNA", at positions 917 to 1268 of the family's 1533-position model. The record is from RNAcentral.
GGGCCCGCACAAGUGGUGGAGCAUGUGGUUUAAUUCGAUGCAACGCGAAGAACCUUACCAACCCUUGAAAUCUAGCGAAGUUCACAGAGAUGAGAAUGUGCCUUCGGGAACGCUAUGACAGGUGUUGCAUGGCUGUCGUCAGCUCGUGUCGUGAGAUGUAUGGUUAAGUCCAGUAACGAGCGCAACCCCUAUCCUUAUUUGCCAGCGCGUUAAGGCGGGAACUAUAGGGAGACUGCCGGGUGAAACCCGGAGGAAGGCGGGGACGAGGUCAAGUCAUCAUGGCCCUUAUGGGUUGGGCUACACACGUGCUACAAUGGGAAGUACAGAGGGAUGCGAAAGCGCGAGCUGGAGC